Molecule: ribosomal RNA, 412 nt
Filed under: uncultured microorganism
Description: bacterial SSU rRNA
Rfam family: Archaeal small subunit ribosomal RNA
Source: RNAcentral
CAGCAGCCGCGGUAAUACCAACCCCGCGAGUGGUCGGGACGUUUAUUGGGCCUAAAGCGUCCGUAGCCGGCCCGGUAAGUCCCUCCUUAAAGCCCACGGCUCAACCGUGGGAGCGGAGGGAUACUGCCGGGCUAGGGGGCGGGAGAGGCCGGGGGUACUCCUGGGGUAGGGGCGAAAUCCUAUAAUCCCAGGAGGACCACCAGUAGCGAAGGCGCCCGGCUAGCACGCGCCCGACGGUGAGGGACGAAAGCUGGGGGAGCAAAGGGGAUUAGAUACCCCCGUAGUCCCAGCUGUAAACGAUGCAGGCUAGGUGUUAGGCGGGCUUCGUGCCCGCCUAGUGCCGUAGGGAAGCCGUUAAGCCUGCCGCCUGGGGAGUACGGCCGCAAGGCUGAAACUUAAAGGAAUUGGCGGG